Molecule: non-coding RNA, 539 nt
Organism: Notechis scutatus (mainland tiger snake)
Lineage: Eukaryota; Metazoa; Chordata; Lepidosauria; Squamata; Elapidae
Source: RefSeq, a predicted model, not a curated record
AUUGAAAAAGACUCGCUGUCUCUUAAAAUUAGGCAUAAGGUGGGUUCAUGAAACAUUGUGGUUCUCACAACAGGCGGUGAUUGAUUCAAUAGAAGGGAAUCUUUGCCACUCAGGUUGAACUCUCCAAUUUCUGGUGUUCUCUUACACCUGUCCACAGCUUCACCAGGGGGUCUAGAGUGACCAUCUCACACUUCUGGCUGUAACAAAUGCUCCCUGUGUGAAUUGGGCAGUACAAGUGAACCUGUCCUUCUCUGUGCUCCAAGCAUUCCAAGCCUUGUGGUCUCUUAGAAAAAGAGGAUGGGGGAAAGAUGCUGGAGGUCAUGUAGUCCAGCGGACCCCAACUCACAGUCCAUGGACCAGCACUGGGCCGUGGAAUGCCAGAAAGCUGCCCUAGCAAACAAGGGAAGCCCCAUCUGUGGGAUGCAGGCAGCAUGCAAAACCACACCCCUUCCGGUCGGCAGGAAAACCUUUCCCCACGGAACCGGUCCCAGGUGACCAAAGGGUUGGGCCCCCCUGAUCUAGUCCACCCUCCUUCCAGC